This 325-nucleotide unclassified non-coding RNA is filed under the name air metagenome. RNAcentral describes it as "partial contains small subunit ribosomal RNA, internal transcribed spacer 1, and 5.8S ribosomal RNA". The stretch from base 1 to 46 matches the Rfam family "Eukaryotic small subunit ribosomal RNA", at positions 1786 to 1831 of the family's 1831-position model. The record is from RNAcentral.
AAGUCGUAACAAGGUUUCCGUAGGUGAACCUGCGGAAGGAUCAUUACUGAAGAGAUGGUAGUAGUUGAAGCUGGCUCUUAGGGGCAUGUGCUCGCUCUAUCGCUUUUUCUACUCUCCACUGUGCACCUAUUGUAGGCUAUGAUAUCAACUCUCAAACGGUCUCUUCUAUAAGAGUCGUUUGGAUAGAAGGCUUGCAUUCAUUUGCUAGCUUUCGAUUGUUGUAGCCUAUGUUCAUACAAACCUUUGAUAGUCUUAUGAAUGUGUAUUGUUGGUCUUUGACCGAUAAAUCAUUAUACAACUUUCAGCAACGGAUCUCUUGGCUCUC